GACGAACGCUGGCGGCGUGCUUAACACAUGCAAGUCGAACGAUGAAGCCGGAGCUUGCUCUGGUGAAUUAGUGGCGAACGGGUGAGUAACACGUGAGUAACCUGCCCUUGACUCUGGAAUAACUGCGGGAAACUGGAGCUAAUACCGGAUACGACCCUCGGAGGCAUCUCCUGGGGGUGGAAAGAAUUUCGGUCAAGGAUGGACUCGCGGCCUAUCAGCUAGUUGGUGAGGUAAAGGCUCACCAAGGCGACGACGGGUAGCCGGCCUGAGAGGGUGACCGGCCACACUGGGACUGAGACACGGCCCAGACUCCUACGGGAGGCAGCAGUGGGGAAUAUUGCACAAUGGGCGCAAGCCUGAUGCAGCAACGCCGCGUGAGGGAUGACGGCCUUCGGGUUGUAAACCUCUUUUAGCAGGGAAGAAGCGAAAGUGACGGUACCUGCAGAAAAAGCACCGGCUAACUACGUGCCAGCCGCCGCGGUAA
Molecule: ribosomal RNA, 484 nt
Filed under: uncultured bacterium
Lineage: Bacteria
Description: partial 16S ribosomal RNA
Rfam family: Bacterial small subunit ribosomal RNA
Source: RNAcentral